AAGUCGUAACAAGGUUUCCGUAGGUGAACCUGCGGAAGGAUCAUUAUCGAGUUUUGACUGGGUUGUAGCUGGCCUCCCGAGGCAUGUGCACGCCCUGCUCAUCCACUCUACACCUGUGCACUUACUGUGGGCUUCAGACGUCGUGAAGCGGGCUCUUUACGGAGCUUGUAGAGCGUGUCUGUGCCUGCGUUUACCACAAACUCUAUAAAGUAUUAGAAUGUGUAUUGCGAUGCAACGCAUCUAUAUACAACUUUCAGCAACGGAUCUCUUGGCUCUC
This 277-nucleotide unclassified non-coding RNA is filed under the name Ganoderma lucidum. Its description in RNAcentral is "partial internal transcribed spacer region". The stretch from base 1 to 46 matches the Rfam family "Eukaryotic small subunit ribosomal RNA", at positions 1786 to 1831 of the family's 1831-position model. Lineage: Eukaryota; Fungi; Basidiomycota; Agaricomycetes; Polyporales; Polyporaceae. The record is from RNAcentral.